Molecule: long non-coding RNA, 1684 nt
Organism: Peromyscus eremicus (cactus mouse)
Lineage: Eukaryota; Metazoa; Chordata; Mammalia; Rodentia; Cricetidae
Exons: 3
Source: RefSeq, a predicted model, not a curated record
UGAAAUGCAGACACAUAGAACAAGAAAAUCCCACCAAACCACAAAUGCGUUCUCCACCAGCAGAGGAGAGAAGGGAACGGAAUGGGUCGUCACGUAUGUGGAAGAUCCGAAGUACAAAAGAGAAACGUGAGCUGUUUGAUAUUGUUGUGUGUUAAGGUGACUGGGCUGUGUGCCAUCACAAUAGAAGCAUGUAUGGCACCACCCAGGCCUAAGCCCCGACGUCACAGGAGAAAUGGGCUUCGGGGGCAUUGAACAAACCUCCAAGAGCCGAGAGGAACCACCUGCCACUGGACACUGAGAAGCCCACGUGGCCACUGACCAGAAACCGCAUGCCAUGUCCAGGGAGACUCAGUAAAGCGAUCCAGUUUGUAGAUAUGAGGCAGGGUAGACACUCAGGGAACAAUCCCCAUUGUGGGUGCUAGUUCACGUUGCCAGGGUGAGCCCAGGGAUGAUGGAGAUUCUGCAUGGAAGAGCAGGAGCAGGCCAAAGUGAAAACAUACCAUCUCAUUACGGACCUGCUGAAGACGGAGCUCACACAAAAGAAUACUGAUGCUUGCCACUGUCAGCAGGCCUGAGGUCCGCAGCACACUAAGUCUCUCAGAGGGAGAGUUCAGCACACCACAUCCCAGGAUGGGUCUCCAGGCUCCUGUCUCUCUGAGGGGUACCAUUUUCCCACAGGAGAUCCUCCUCCACCUACAUGGCGCUCAGAGAGAGGUCAUGAGAUGGUCUUUUCCGGUCCUGCCCAUCCGGCUCUUCCUGUGCCUUCUGUCUUGCCUCAGUCCUGUCUCAGCCCAUCACGUCCCAGUCAGUCACACUUUGGCUGAGGUCUCUGACACGUGAGGUCAGGCUCCAAGCCUCAUCAGCCAUGGCUCUUCCAUUGUCUGUAUGUCUAUCGGCAGAGACCAUGGUAGUGAGAUGUCAACCCCCUCUCCCACCCCCACUCCAGACUCAGUGAUAGCUACUGACUUCCACUCUGUGUAUUUUCAUACAUGUUAACUCUUCAGACCUUUUUUGUCCUUUAAGACGGGAAUCGCUAACUCUCCUUCACAGGUAAGAGUUGCAGCAAGAACAAUGGCCUCCGGAGAUAUCCACACCUUGAUCCCUACAGCCUGCGAUCAUCACCUUCUCUACCACGUCUCUUGCAGAUGUGGUGAAGCCGAAGAUCUUGAGACGGAAAUAUUCUAGAAGAUCGUGUGGGAUCGAAACACAGCCACGUGCUUUUUAUAAGGAGGCGGCAAGCCAGGCAUGGUAAUCCAAGGCUAUAAUCCAAGGUACUCGGGAGACAAGCAGCAGGAUUUCUUGGACCCAGGAGCUUGGAGACCAGUCUGGGGAAAUCGGCUGGAUCACAUAUCAAAAAUUAAAUAAAACCCAGAAAGUGAUUUUACAGGAAAGACGGCGAUGGGUCAGAUGCUGUACCAUUGGCCGGGAGCACGGAAGGAGAGACCCUCCACUACGGAAUGUAGCAUCAAGACUGGAGAGGUGGGUCUGAGGUUGAGUGCUUGCUGCUCCUUCAGAGGACCUGAGGUCAGUGCCCAGCACCCAUGUCGGGUGGCUCACAAACACCCAUAACCACAGCUCCGGGAGCUGUGACACCCUCUUCUGGCUUCUCCAGGCACUCACGUACACAUGUGUACAUACACAUCCAUAUACAGAUAAUAGUAAUUUCAAUUAUUAAAAAAUACAG